CAGCAGCCGCGGGAAUACCAGCACCUCGAGUGGUCAGGAGGUUUAUUGGGCCUAAAGCAUCCGUAGCCGGUUGCAUAAGUUUUCGGUUAAAUCUAUGCGCUUAACGUAUAGGCCGCCGAAAAUACUGUGCAGCUAGGGAGUGGGAGAGGUACACGGUACUCGAUAGGAAGGGGUAAAAUCCUUUGAUCUAUUGAUGACCACCUGUGGCGAAGGCGGUGUACCAGAACACGUUCGACGGUGAGGGAUGAAAGCUGGGGGAGCAAACCGGAUUAGAUACCCCUGUAGUCCCUGUCUCUUAUAC
RNAcentral lists this ribosomal RNA (301 nucleotides) under uncultured bacterium. Its description in RNAcentral is "partial 16S ribosomal RNA". It matches the Rfam family "Archaeal small subunit ribosomal RNA", at positions 459 to 760 of the family's 1478-position model. The record is from RNAcentral.